RNAcentral lists this transfer RNA (105 nucleotides) under Tunturiibacter empetritectus. Its description in RNAcentral is "Tunturibacter empetritectus tRNA-OTHER". The record is from RNAcentral. Lineage: Bacteria; Pseudomonadati; Acidobacteriota; Terriglobia; Terriglobales; Acidobacteriaceae.
GGAGCUUAGGUAGGCAGCACCGGAGUCCUGUAAGUGCUUGAAAGACAAUGAAAUAGUCGAUUCACACGGUGGAAGUCGUAGGUUCGAAUCCUGCUGUGCCCACCA